This 355-nucleotide long non-coding RNA is filed under the name Trifolium pratense (red clover). RNAcentral's name for it is "long non-coding RNA (TPRA_LNC009308)". Lineage: Eukaryota; Viridiplantae; Streptophyta; Magnoliopsida; Fabales; Fabaceae. The record is from RNAcentral.
AUUGAUUUAAAGAUACGCCUCUCACACUCUCGCGCUAUUGAGUUAUAUCAUGUAGAAAUAAAAUAAAUGUUUAACUGUCACUCUUACAUUUACUUAUGAAAACACUUUUUGAAAAUCAAUACAAUUUAAUUGGAAAAGAAUCUAGUUUUCACAAAACAACAUUAGUUUAAAAAUAUAGUCUCACGCCGUCGCGCUAUUGAACUGAUACUAUAUUAUAUAAAUGAAUGUUUCACUCUCGCUCUCACAUUUAUUUAUAAAAUACUUUUUGAAAACUAAUAUAGUUUAAUUAACUUUAAAGAGUUGUCGCGGUGUUUAAAAUUAAUGUUCAGUUUUUACUAUCUGGUAUAAAUCUCAC